Molecule: ribosomal RNA, 468 nt
Filed under: uncultured bacterium
Lineage: Bacteria
Description: partial 16S ribosomal RNA
Rfam family: Bacterial small subunit ribosomal RNA
Source: RNAcentral
GACGAACGCUGGCGGCGUGCUUAACACAUGCAAGUCGAACGGAAAGGCCCUGCUUUUGUGGGGUGCUCGAGUGGCGAACGGGUGAGUAACACGUGAGUAACCUGCCCUUGACUUUGGGAUAACUUCAGGAAACUGGGGCUAAUACCGCAUAUGAGCUCCUGCUGCAUGGUGGGGGUUGGAAAGUUUCGGCGGGUGGGGAUGGACUCGCGGCUUAUCAGCUUGUUGGUGGGGUAGUGGCUUAGCAAGGCUGUGACGGGUAGCCGGCCUGAGAGGGGGACCGGCCACAUUGGGCCGGCGAUUCGGGCCGGAAGCCGACGGGAAGCAGAAGUGGGGAAUGGUGGACAAAGGGAGGGAGGCUGAGGCAGGAAUGACGGCUUCCGGGUGACGGCCUUCGGGUUGUAAACCGCUUUCGCCUGUGACGAAGCGUGAGUGACGGUAAUGGGUAAAGAAGCACCGGCUAACUACGUG